This is a long non-coding RNA of Panicum hallii, 2089 nucleotides long. RefSeq lists it as uncharacterized. The transcript is spliced from 4 exons. The record is from RefSeq and is a predicted model, not a curated record. Lineage: Eukaryota; Viridiplantae; Streptophyta; Magnoliopsida; Poales; Poaceae.
UCAGAAAAGAAACCAUUCAAUGCCUUGUCUGAGCAGUCCAAAGCAAGCGCCGCCACCGCUACAGAGCCACCUUCCCCUGCUCCGGCGCAUGGAGCAUCGUGCCACCGCGGUGGAGGCAACGCAUGCAACUCAGCGGGGCUCCGCGGGCGAGUCCCCACUCCCGCGCCGCGCCGUCCCUAGGGAUCCUCUUUCUGAGCUCCUGAGCUCCUCCAAGAACGGGCGGCGUCUGAACCCGGCGGACAGAACCCCUCCGCUGCCACCACCGUAGAGGCAGCGGCUGCAGCUCGACGGGGCUCCGCGGGCUGCACCUCAUCCGUCUCGACAGCAAGGGAGCCGAGCUCCGCGGGUGGCGAGGCCCCACUCCCACGCCACGCUGUCCCCAAGGAUCCACCUUUCGAACUCCUCCAAGAAUGGGCUGCAUCUGAACCCGGCAACCGAAACCCCUCCACCGCCACCGUCGCGAAGGCAGCAGCAGCGGCUCCGCCGGACUCCGCAGGUCGCGCCGCCUCCAUCUCGAAAGCGAGGGAGCCAAGCUCCGCGGGCGGCAAGCCCCCACUCCCGCGCCGCGCCUUCCCUGCCUCGACUGACGAUAUCCCUACCUCGACCGAUGAGAUGUUGGUGAAGAACAAGACUGAGAUAGACCACAAAGUCAUGCCGGAGGGAAUGACAAAGCAGGUGGGUAGGAAAGGAAGGAGAUUAAAUUCUAGAUGGACCUCUCUUAUUGUCAUCCUGCUAUUGAUCAUUACAGCUUUCCGGAGAUUUGAGAGCUUAGAUAUGGGAGAGCAAUUGUCUACAAGGGAACUCAAACAUUUAUUCUCUAUAACUUGGUACAAUACAAGACUCUUAUACUCUUAUGUCACUACCCUAUUAUAACACAACUAUGCUACAUGGCUGCCAUAUCAUCUCCUAUUUAAAACCUCUUAUGCCAUGAUAUAGCAAAAGAAGAGGGGAGCACCCCUAUAUAUGACUCCAUGGCUUAUGUGGUAUUACCAUGUGUCCAUCUUCUACACUCUUCUUGAUCUCUAGAACUAUCACUCAUGCUUAUAUAAUUUUUAAUAUUUCUGUCAUGGUAAAAUAUUCUAGAGAAUUCUUAACUUGCAUGUAGUAUGAAAACUUCUCUCUUGUCAUUUCCAAUUUUUUCUAAAACCUUCUCAAGUAUGAAUUGAUAUCAUUCAACACUCCCCUCAAUGCAUACUUAUCUCUGGUGGCGCGUCCCCUUAAAUCUUUUGCUCUCUGUCAUUCCGAACCUUCUUUUCCGUUGUCGUUGUGAUGCGAUCUGAUUUUCCUUCGGCUCAUACUCCUUAGCCUUCAUUUGCAGCUUUCCAGCAGGUAGCAGACUUGAUGCAACCAUGCACCUCUUAUUUCUUCUUUUAGGUGUCGUGUCACACCCUAAAAUUUCUAUUUUGGAUUGCGAAUAAAUGAUAUUAAAUAAAAUAAUUGUUUGUAUUAUUUUUCCAAAAUUAAUCCAACCUUUAAUUAGUUUGUUAUCAAUUUAGAUAGAAAAAUUAAAUUUGUUUUCUAAAAUUUUAAAUCGAUCUGUUACGGGAUGUUGCAUUCAUGCUGACUGCACAAUAUUUUUUAUGAAAAACAAAUUUAAUAUUUUUAAAAAAUACGUUUAGAUUUUUGUUCCAUCCAAAUCCAGCUCUCAAUCUCUUAAUCAAUUCAUAAACCUCUCUUAUCCUGGUUCUUCUUUUAAUUUAGAGACAAUCCAGCCUUUUCUUUUCUCCUUUUUCCAUUCUUAUCUUCCUAGCCAACCCAAUGUUGGCCUCUCAGCUCCCUCCCCGCAAGUAUAAAAGGCUAGUACAUGGAACCUUUCAGUCAUGCCUCACCCAUCUCAAACUCAAUCUCACCUAUACACAUUUUGCUUGUUCCAAAAACUCUCUCUUAGCGCUUUGUCUCGAUCCUAGGAUGGUAAAGAAAUCCACGUCCGAUAGCACUCGACCUCGUUGUCUCUCAUUCUCCAGUACUUGAGCCGCUGUGCCGCCACCCUACAUGAUGCCUAAACUUGUCCGUUUGCGAUGGAUGCUUAUCGAGAUGAAAAGAUGAACAAUACGAGGAGCACGAGUUCGGAUCAACUCCAAACUAACGG